AACGAACGCUGGCGGCAGGCUUAACACAUGCAAGUCGAGCGAGACCUUCGGGUCUAGCGGCGGACGGGUGAGUAACGCGUGGGAACGUGCCCUUCUCUACGGAAUAGCCCCGGGAAACUGGGAGUAAUACCGUAUACGCCCUUUGGGGGAAAGAUUUAUCGGAGAAGGAUCGGCCCGCGUUGGAUUAGGUAGUUGGUGGGGUAAUGGCCCACCAAGCCGACGAUCCAUAGCUGGUUUGAGAGGAUGAUCUGCCACACUGGGACUGAGACACGGCCCAGACUCCUACGGGAGGCAGCAGUGGGGAAUCUUAGACAAUGGGGGCAACCCUGAUCUAGCCAUGCCGCGUGAGUGAUGAAGGCCUUAGGGUUGUAAAGCUCUUUCAGCUGGGAAGAUAAUGACGGUACCAGCAGAAGAAGCCCCGGCUAACUCCGUG
Molecule: ribosomal RNA, 433 nt
Filed under: uncultured bacterium
Lineage: Bacteria
Description: partial 16S ribosomal RNA
Rfam family: Bacterial small subunit ribosomal RNA
Source: RNAcentral